This is a non-coding RNA of Podarcis lilfordi (Lilford's wall lizard), 69 nucleotides long. The record is from the annotation of a GenBank genome assembly. Lineage: Eukaryota; Metazoa; Chordata; Lepidosauria; Squamata; Lacertidae.
CCGUAGCUUAGUGGUAGAGCAUCUGUCUUGCAUCCUGACAGCCCUGGGAUUCAACCCCUGGCUGGGAGA